AGGCGGUAAUCAAGAGGACGUGACCACCGGUUAACCAGCGAGCUUGACCAGGGCAAUCAGAGACUCCUCCCUCUUCCUGUGUCCUUGGAAUGUGCCGGAAGGAUCUAGUCACUGGGAACCUAUUCUAGCCUGGAGUCCAUAGAAGACUCAGUUUGGUGACAGCCUAUGAGCAGAUGCCUUAUUUGCAAACACACUCCCGGGAAACAAAGAAUAAUGAGAAAAGAAGAAUGAGACCAGAAAAGAGGAAGAACAAAUAAAAGGAGUUGUGUUUCCGAGCUGUCCGCAGCUCUGUAACCACCAGAGCUGAUCAUUCAGUCCUGUGGGCAGCAUCCUGAGAAACUUUACAAACUAUUGUUUCUUUGAGCAGACCAUCUUGGGACAGCAAGGAAUUAUUGCUGUGGCUUUGCCAGCCAGAUUUCAGAAGCAAGGCAAGUGCGGGAACCUGAGAUGGCCUGGAAUGAGAUUUUGUAUUGGAGGCAUCAUUUCUGGCGUGAUACAGGAUGGGUGAUGUCAGAACUCAGCCAUUUUGAGUAAAACAGAUAAUAAACAUGAAGCUCAAUAUUUGGAAGUCACUGUUCUUGGUGAUCAUUUCAGAAAAGCC
RNAcentral lists this long non-coding RNA (601 nucleotides) under Equus caballus (horse). Its description in RNAcentral is "lncRNA (ENSECAG00000050784.1)". Lineage: Eukaryota; Metazoa; Chordata; Mammalia; Perissodactyla; Equidae. The record is from RNAcentral.